AACAUGUCUUUUUGUAUUUAAUUUAAAGUCUAAUCUGCCCACUGAUUUUUAAUUAAAGGGCUGCAGUAAUUUGACUGUACAAAGGUAGCAUAAUCAUUAGUCUUUUAAUUGAAGACUUGUAUGAAAGAUUUGAUGAGAUAUAAACUGUCUCUUUAUUACAAUUAAAAUUUAAUUUUUUAGUUAAAAAGCUAAAAUAUUUUUAAAAGACGAGAAGACCCUAUAGAGUUUUAUAGUUUUUAUUAUAAAAUAUUUAUAUAAAAUUUUAAUGUUAUAUUAUAAAAAUUAUUUUGUUGGGGAGAUAAAAAAAUUAAAUAAACUUUUUUAAAUAUUUUCAUGAAUAAUUGAGUAAUUGAUCCAUAUUUAUUGAUUAAAAGAAAAAAUUACCUUAGGGAUAACAGCGUAAUGUUUUUUUUUAGUACAAAUAAGAAAAAAAGUUUGCGACCUCGAUGUUGGAUUAAGAUAAAAUUUAAAUGUAAAAGUUUAAAAUUUUGAUCUGUUCGAUCAUUAAAAUCUUACA
Molecule: ribosomal RNA, 517 nt
Filed under: Talicada nyseus
Lineage: Eukaryota; Metazoa; Arthropoda; Insecta; Lepidoptera; Lycaenidae
Description: partial 16S ribosomal RNA
Rfam family: Bacterial large subunit ribosomal RNA (bases 391-517)
Source: RNAcentral